GACGAACGCUGGCGGCGUGCCUAAUACAUGCAAGUUGAGCGCUGAAGGUUGGUACUUGUACCAACUGGAUGAGCAGCAAACGGGUGAGUAACGCGUGGGGAAUCUGCCUUUGAGCGGGGGACAACAUUUGGAAACGAAUGCUAAUACCGCAUAAAAACUUUAAACACAAGUUUUAAGUUUGAAAGAUGCAAUUGCAUCACUCAAAGAUGAUCCCGCGUUGUAUUAGCUAGUUGGUGAGGUAAAGGCUCACCAAGGCGAUGAUACAUAGCCGACCUGAGAGGGUGAUCGGCCACAUUGGGACUGGGACACGGCCCAAACUCCUACGGGAGGCAGCAGUAGGGAAUCUUCGGCAAUGGACGAAAGUCUGACCGAGCAACGCCGCGUGAGUGAAGAAGGUUUUCGGAUCGUAAAACUCUGUUGGUAGAGAAGAACGUUGGUGAGAGUGGAAAGCUCAUCAAGUGACGGUAACUACCCAGAAAGGGACGGCUAACUACGUG
Molecule: ribosomal RNA, 497 nt
Filed under: uncultured bacterium
Lineage: Bacteria
Description: partial 16S ribosomal RNA
Rfam family: Bacterial small subunit ribosomal RNA
Source: RNAcentral